RNAcentral lists this ribosomal RNA (305 nucleotides) under uncultured bacterium. RNAcentral describes it as "partial 16S ribosomal RNA". It matches the Rfam family "Bacterial small subunit ribosomal RNA", at positions 508 to 807 of the family's 1533-position model. The record is from RNAcentral.
ACAGCAGUAGCCGCGGUAAUUCGAAGGGGGCUAGCGUUGUUCGGAUUUACUGGGCGUAAAGGGCGCGUAGGCGGACUGAUAAGUCAGGGGUGAAAUCCCAAGGCUCAACCUUGGAACUGCCCUUGAUACUGUUUGUCUUGAGUUCGAGAGAGGUAAGUGGAACUGCGAGUGUAGAGGUGAAAUUCGUAGAUAUUCGCAAGAACACCAGUGGCGAAGGCGGCUUACUGGCUCGAAACUGACGCUGAGGCGCGAAAGCGUGGGGAGCAAACAGGAUUAGAUACCCGCGUAGUCCCUGUCUCUUAUAC